Molecule: long non-coding RNA, 336 nt
Organism: Danaus plexippus (monarch butterfly)
Lineage: Eukaryota; Metazoa; Arthropoda; Insecta; Lepidoptera; Nymphalidae
Exons: 2
Source: RefSeq, a predicted model, not a curated record
AUAGCGUGUUAUCAACAAUGCGAGUGCUUAUCAAAUCAAAGUUCAUAGAAACGAGAAUGCAAUGCGUGUGAUAACGCUUGUAACAUUCAAUAAAUAUUGAGGUAAAACUUAAAUUAAAAUUUAAAUGAGAAAAUAUACAAUGGAAAAUUCUUCGAUACGAGCUGGAUUUUAAACUGAAAUAUUCGGAGUAUUCGUUUUAUAGAUCGAGACUUGUGGCAAGGGCACUGACGGUUGGUGGAAAUGAAGCCGCAGAUCCCAGUGAAAGCCUAUUCGCUCUAUAUUAUGGAAUAUUUAAAUAAAAAUAAUAGGCUCGUACUUAUUUGAAUUUUGCAGCAA